Small nucleolar RNA from Suncus etruscus (white-toothed pygmy shrew), 211 nucleotides. RefSeq annotates it as small nucleolar RNA U3. NCBI's taxonomy places the organism in Eukaryota, Metazoa, Chordata, Mammalia, Eulipotyphla, Soricidae. The transcript has a single exon. The record is from RefSeq and is a predicted model, not a curated record.
AAGACUAUACUUUCAGGGAUCAUUUCUAUAGUAUGUAACUAGAGAAGUUUCUCUGAUCGUGUAUAGCACCGGAAGCCAGGAGGAGUCAGAGCGUCCUCUCCUGAGCAAGAAGCCGGCUCUAGGUGUUGCUUCAGUGACUGCCUUUUGCCAUUGAUGAUCGUUCUUCUCUUCCUUUGGAAGGGUUAGAGGGAGAGGAUGCAGUAUGAGUGGU